GGGCCAGUAGCUCAUCUGGUAGAGCGCCGCCUUUGCAAGGCGGAUGUGGCAGGUUCGAGUCCUGUCUGGUCCACUA
Molecule: transfer RNA, 76 nt
Filed under: Candidatus Magasanikbacteria bacterium CG1_02_32_51
Lineage: Bacteria; Candidatus Magasanikiibacteriota
Also listed under: 1 other name
Description: tRNA-Ala
Rfam family: tRNA
About the family: Transfer RNA (tRNA) molecules are approximately 80 nucleotides in length. Their secondary structure includes four short double-helical elements and three loops (D, anti-codon, and T loops).
Source: RNAcentral